RNAcentral lists this ribosomal RNA (200 nucleotides) under uncultured bacterium. Its description in RNAcentral is "partial 16S ribosomal RNA". It matches the Rfam family "Bacterial small subunit ribosomal RNA", at positions 29 to 256 of the family's 1533-position model. The record is from RNAcentral.
AGCGAACGCUGGCGGCAGGCCUAACACAUGCAAGUCGAACGGACCCUUCGGGGUUAGUGGCGGACGGGUGAGUAACACGUGGGAACGUGCCUUUUGGUUCGGAAUAACUCAGGGAAACUUGUGCUAAUACCGAAUGUGCCCUUCGGGGGAAAGAUUUAUCGCCAUUAGAGCGGCCCGCGUCUGAUUAGCUAGUUGGUGAG